AGUGAACGCUGGCGGUAGGCCUAACACAUGCAAGUCGAACGAGUGGCGGACGGGUGAGGUAUAAAUCGGCAUCUACUCUGUCGUGGGGGCUAACGUAGGGAAACUUACGCUAAUACCGCAUAAGAUUGUAUGAUCUGUUGUCGGAUUAGCUAGUUGGCGGGGUAAAGGCCCACCAAGGCGACGAUCCGUAGCUGGUCUGAGAGGACGAUCAGCAACACUGGAACGGAGACACGGUCCAGACUCCUACGGGAGGCAGCAGUGGGGAAUAUUGGACAAUGGGCGCAAGCCUGAUCCAGCCAUACCGCGUGGGUGAAGAAGGCCUUCGGGUUGUAAAGCCCUUUUGUUGGGAAAGCGGUACCCAAAGAAGAAGCGCCGGCUAACUUCGUGCCAGCAGCCGCGGUAAUUC
This 406-nucleotide ribosomal RNA is filed under the name uncultured bacterium. Its description in RNAcentral is "partial 16S ribosomal RNA". It matches the Rfam family "Bacterial small subunit ribosomal RNA", at positions 29 to 526 of the family's 1533-position model. The record is from RNAcentral.